This 511-nucleotide ribosomal RNA is filed under the name Ensiger custos. RNAcentral's name for it is "Anchistus custos partial 16S ribosomal RNA". It matches the Rfam family "Bacterial large subunit ribosomal RNA", at positions 1829 to 2597 of the family's 2925-position model. Lineage: Eukaryota; Metazoa; Arthropoda; Malacostraca; Decapoda; Palaemonidae. The record is from RNAcentral.
GUCUGUCUGUUUUUUAUAGAAAGUCUAGUCUGCCCACUGAUAAUUUAAAGGGCCGCGGUAAUUUGACUGUGCAAAGGUAGCAUAAUCAUUAGCUUUUUAAUUGGAAGCUGGAAUGAACGGCUAGAUGAGAAAUGAACUGUCUUUUUUUACUAUAUAGAAAUUAACUUUUAAGUGAAAAGGCUUAAAUUUUUUGGGGGGACGAUAAGACCCUGUAAAACUUGAUAUUUAUUUUAUUAAAAUUUAGGUUUAAAGUUUGAAAUUUUUUGUUAAUGUAAAUAUUUUGUUGGGGAGACGAAGAUAUAAUUUUUAACUGUCUAUUUAAACUGUAUACUUCUUUGUAUUCUAAUGAUCCUUUAAUAGAGAUUAUAAGAUUAAGUUACUUCAGGGAUAACAGCGUAAUUUUCUUUGAGAGUUCCUAUCGACAAGAAUAGUUGCGACCUCGAUGUUGAAUUAAGAUUUCAGAAAAGUGAAGCCGCUUUUCUAGUAGGUCUGUUCGACCUUUAAUAAUCUU